This 1082-nucleotide long non-coding RNA is filed under the name Macaca fascicularis (crab-eating macaque). RNAcentral's name for it is "lncRNA (ENSMFAG00000063167.1)". Lineage: Eukaryota; Metazoa; Chordata; Mammalia; Primates; Cercopithecidae. The record is from RNAcentral.
GUUGUAUUUCCUUUCUCUAUAUAAUAAGUUAUACUUAAAUUAACUUAAAAAAUAUUCCUUACAGUGACAUUUUUGUAUGCAUCAAGAAAACUGUAUGUCCUAAAAUUUUUGGUUUAGGAUUAACCUGAAACACUGGUCUGUGGUAGAACACCUGAGUUUCAGUUUCAGUUAAGCUGAAGGGCUUUGGGCCAAUUGUUUCACCUCUGGACAUCAUUUCUCCUCAUAUGUUAAAUAUAGAGGGUGGAUUAGCCAGGUGUGGUGGUGGGCACCUGUGAUCCCAGCUACUGAGGAGGCUGAGACACAAGAAUCCCUUGAACCUAGAGGCGGAGGUUGCAGUGAGCCAAGAUUGCGUCACUGCACUCCAGCCUAGGCGACAGAGCAAGACUGUCUCAACACACACACACACACACACACACACACACACACACACACACCCCACAGAGGGUGGGUUUAGAUUCAUAGCUCCCAACUGUGGCUGCACAUUGGUAUCAUCUGGAAGACUGAAAACAGAUAAUGCCCUGGCUCCACCAUCAGAAAGGAUGGUUUGGACUGGGGCUUGGCAUUGGUAUUUAAAGAUUAAAAGUAUCUCCUCUGGGAUUUCUAAUGUGAAGCUAGGGUCGAAAACUUUCAAUCCUUCAAUAUCUAUAGCUAUUCAGAAACCAGAAAAUAAGAAAGGACAAGUUUUUUCGGAUGGCCCGUAUUUUUCCUAAGGGUAUAAAAUAUAAGACGUGGGUUCAAAUGAAGUCAUAGCCUACCCUAAAACUUAAAAAGUCUUUGAAGAAAAAAUAAAAUUUCAUCUCAUACAAAAAAAGAUAUGGACUACAAAUGAAUAGGUAUAUGGUGCUAUUAUUGUAAAAAUUCCAUUAUUAGAACCAUGGCAUCAAACUAUAAGGUUAAUAUAGAAUUAUAUAAUCUAGAAUUAUUUGAAAAUUUGUUAUAAAUUAUUUGUUCAAACGAUAAAAUAUUUUUUACCAAGUUCUCUUUAAUAAUACUGCUAUCCGCUGUAUAGUUUAAUAAAUAAGGCAGCAAACUAUUUUUAACUAUAAACAAUUCAGGUCCUUUUAAGUGCAAAAGGAUGCCUU